AGUGAACGCUGGCGGUAGGCCUAACACAUGCAAGUCGAACGGCAGCACAGUAAGAGCUUGCUCUUACGGGUGGCGAGUGGCGGACGGGUGAGGAAUACAUCGGAAUCUACUUUUUCGUGGGGGAUAACGUAGGGAAACUUACGCUAAUACCGCAUACGACCUACAGGUGAAAGCAGGGGAUCUUCGGACCUUGCGCGAUUGAAUGAGCCGAUGUCGGAUUAGCUAGUUGGCGGGGUAAAGGCCCACCAAGGCGACGAUCCGUAGCUGGUCUGAGAGGAUGAUCAGCCACACUGGAACUGAGACACGGUCCAGACUCCUACGGGAGGCAGCAGUGGGGAAUAUUGGACAAUGGGCGCAAGCCUGAUCCAGCCAUACCGCGUGGGUGAAGAAGGCCUUCGGGUUGUAAAGCCCUUUUGUUGGGAAAGAAAAGCAGCAGGUUAACACCCCGCUGUUCUGACGGUACCCAAAGAAUAAGCACCGGCUAACUUCGUG
This 492-nucleotide ribosomal RNA is filed under the name uncultured bacterium. RNAcentral's name for it is "partial 16S ribosomal RNA". It matches the Rfam family "Bacterial small subunit ribosomal RNA", at positions 29 to 507 of the family's 1533-position model. The record is from RNAcentral.